This 1109-nucleotide long non-coding RNA is filed under the name Homo sapiens (human). RNAcentral describes it as "cancer/testis associated transcript 69". Lineage: Eukaryota; Metazoa; Chordata; Mammalia; Primates; Hominidae. The record is from RNAcentral.
GAGAAGAGAGGUCCAAACUGAAAUCUGAGGAGCCUCAACAUUCAGAACUCAACUGGGCGCUGUGGCUCAAGCCUGUAAUCCCAGCACUUUGGGAGGACGAGGCAGGCAGAACACCUGAGGUGAGAAGUUUGAGACCAGCCUGGCCAACAUGGCCAAACCUUGUCUCUACUGAAAAUAUAAAAAUUAGCCAGGCAUGGUGGCGAGCGCCUGUAAUCCCACCUACUCUGGAGGCUGAGGCAGAAGAAUCUCUUGAACCUGGAAGGCGGAGGUUGCAGUGAGCCGAGAUCACACCACUGCCCUCCAGCCUGGGCGACAGAACAAGACUCCGUGUCAGAAAAAAAAAAAGAAAAGAAAAGAAAAAGAAAAAGAAAAGAACUCGGUGGAGCACAAGUAGCUGAGUAAUGCCCCAGAAGCCGGCAUCAUUGUUGGACAGCUCAGAUGUUCAGGAUGUUUCAUUUUGAGCCUACCUCAUUGGAAUUUCAAAAUAUUGGCCUCUUUGGAGCAAUACAGAGCAAGUCUGUUCCUUCAAGUAGAUGAAAAGCUCCCUGCAUGUCUUCCAUUGGACUUCUCCCCUUUAGCUUAAAAAUAUCCACAGUCCUGAAACAUGGCUCAGAAGCAGAUAUUACCCAAACCCUACUCUUAAAGCUCGGCCAGCCAGCCACAUGCAGGACCCUGAAGCAAAUAAGAGGUGACCUGAGAAGCUACGUAUUGACACGGCGCUACCACGGGUGGAGGAGCCUGCAUUGCUGAAUCACAGGAUGAAGGCGAAUCCCUGCCAGCCUCCAUCCAUCUCUGGGGUGCUUAGCAGAAUCCUCAGCUCACAAGAUGAAUAAAUGCAGACUAAAUGAUGCACAAAUAAUCUUCACACACAACCAUCAACACAUGGAAAGACUGCAGGACGGCCAGAUCCCAAGCUAACAAACAGAAAAAGAAAAAAAAUGGCAUUAUGAUACAAACAGAAAAUGUAACAGUGGAGUGCAGAAAAUACAAAAAAAAGGAAAAAAUAAAUAGAAAAUCUUCAAAGAGGCAAUCUGUUUAAAUCUUCAAGAACUGGAAACAGUAAAAGUGAACAGGUUUUUAUUGAGCAUGUCAAUAAAAUGUUUGCAUAA